This is a long non-coding RNA of Helianthus annuus (common sunflower), 739 nucleotides long. RefSeq lists it as uncharacterized. The record is from RefSeq and is a predicted model, not a curated record. The transcript is spliced from 3 exons. NCBI's taxonomy places the organism in Eukaryota, Viridiplantae, Streptophyta, Magnoliopsida, Asterales, Asteraceae.
UUUACCGGACACUAACAAAGAAAACGUUAGUAUACGGAGCGUUGAAGGAGGAUUUGCAGCCGUAUUAAAAUUCAGCGGCAAACCAACAGAGGAUAUUGUUCGUGAAAAAGAAAAAUUACUGAGGUCUAGUGUUCUUCCUGAAGGUCUCAAACCAAAAGACGGGUGUUUAUUGGCUCGCUACAAUGAUCCUGGUAGAACAAAAAGUUUUAUGAUGCGAAACGAGGUUCUUAUUUGGCUCGAGGAGUUUUCGUUGGACUAGUUCUUAUCAAGUUUGAUAUGUAGCCACUCAUUAAAGUAAGAGGUAUCCACCAAUAUAUAUGUAAUAUUUAUUUGUAUUCCAGAUUUGAAAGGUUAUUAAAGUCAUGUGGAUAUUCCCAAGCAAUCUUGUCUAGUUCUUAGCAAUAUAAAUAUAUAGUCCCUAUAUUGGUUCUACAGCCCCAAACAACUUUUUUUGUCUAGUAACAAGAUAUUAUCUUCAAGAAGUCACAAUAAUGAUGAUAGAUUUGACAACAUGUGAAGCAUUCGAGUAAUAGAGAUAAGAAGAUUUAUGGAUUGCUUGGAGCUAAGUUUUUUUUUACAGUAUGAUUCCUAUGGGAAAGAACGUUUUGUUUGUUUUUUUUUUUUUUGUAAACAUUUGAAACAUGUUUGAAACUUAUUAUGCAUUUAUUUGCUAACAUUUGUAAUAUGUUUUGGAUCGAAUUGAAGUUAUGAUAUUAUAAUUUCUACACAUUUUCAUUUA